This 449-nucleotide small RNA is filed under the name Pongo abelii (Sumatran orangutan). Its description in RNAcentral is "retained intron". Lineage: Eukaryota; Metazoa; Chordata; Mammalia; Primates; Hominidae. The record is from RNAcentral.
CUGACCCCAGCAGACUCUGGCAGCCCAGGGGUCUCCACGCUUGGUUGCCAGAAGGGUAUGUGGGGGCCCCCAAAGGGCUGAUGAUACAGCCAUGUGUGUGUCCCUGUCCCUGCCAGACUGACCCCUUCUGGACGGCCAGCUCCCUGUCACCCUCCGACCACAGAGAGGCCCAGAACCAGUCCAUCUGCAGCCUGGCAGAGCUCCUGGAGCUGGCCAAGGGCAAUGCCACACUGCUGCUCAACCUGCGCGACCCGCCCCGGGAGCACCCCUACCGCAGCAGUUUUCUCAACGUGACUCUGGAGGCCGUGCUGCACUCCGGCUUCCCCCAGCACCAGGUCAUGUGGCUGCCUAGCAGGCAGAGGCCCCUGGUGCGGAAGGUGGCUCCCGGCUUCCAACAGACAUCAGGCUCCAAGGAGGCAGUCGCCAGCCUGCGGAGAGGCCACAUCCAG